Oncorhynchus nerka (sockeye salmon) is the source of this 1320-nucleotide long non-coding RNA. RefSeq lists it as uncharacterized. Lineage: Eukaryota; Metazoa; Chordata; Actinopteri; Salmoniformes; Salmonidae. The transcript is spliced from 2 exons. The record is from RefSeq and is a predicted model, not a curated record.
AAGGCCUAGUGCAGAUCUCAGCCAAAAUAAUACAAGUUUUAGUUCCUCCCUUCUAAAUUUAUCUGUGUUAUUGUGCUCUAUACUAUCAAAAUAAGAUUUUAUUUUAAGACCUUGAGAGUGGUUUUUAUUUUCUUAAUUGAAAAUGUACCAUCUAGUUUUUAACAUGCAAAUAGCACUUUCUUGGUACUGCUCAAACCAUGCCAUUCCGAGAGCAGCAUUUAUUUUUCUACUGAAGCAAAGAGCCCCGUCACGGCUUUUGUCGUAAUGAGGAUCGGACCAAAGCGCACCGUGAGAGAGGAGGGAACUGGCAGGGGGAGACUGGCUGGAAAAAAAGAGUGAUUGAUUCUCCAAAGGGGAGGAUUUACCUGACGAUUUGGGGAGGAUUUACCUGACGAUUUGGAGAGGAAGAGGACAAACUACCUCUUGGGAAUGGCAACCAUGGAUCCGCACCACCACCUGAAAGGAGCUCUCAUCGAACUGAUAGUUAAGGCGCUGACACACCUGUGAUUUAUGUUUAUAGUUAAAAGUUACUCACCUUGUGUUACUUAUUCCUGCAAAGAAGAUGAUUUGUGUUAUCCUUGUGAGAUCAUCCUUGAUUGUGUGGGAGUGUUUGUUUUAAGAGAGAAUACCUCAAAAGAGAACUUUGUUCAAUGUAAGAACCUGCUCUCGACUAAUUUAUUCCACCUUUCCGUUUUGGAGCAACCUAAAAAGACUUGGUCUGCUCACAUAAGAUUGACUUCGAGUGUCCCCGUGUAAGAAUUUCCACGACACUUAUAAGCAGGAAUCAGGAGGAUAGAGUUAUGGUCAGAUUUUCCAAAGCGAGGGUGAGGGACAGCCUUAGUGCUGUUAACUGGUCUGGUGCCACCCUACUAGCUAUGACCUGUUCGUGCUGUCUGGUGCCAACCUGCUAGCUGGGAACUGUCAGUGCUGUUUGAGGUGGGGCCAUUGGAGUGUUAAAUACAGUGGGUCAUACAUCCUCUUUGGGUUCUAAUGCCAUUCCUCUCCAUGUUUAGAAGAUGUAUCUCAUUGUGAAAGUCAUAUUUCAUAGUUUACAGAUUGUUUUUGAGUGGAUUUUUCCUUUUAUAUAGAGCAACCACUAUAAAAAAAUAACAUAAGAUUGUUUCAGGAGUCCAAAGUGUCACUUGCCUCAUCAUAAUGAUGUAUUUUGCUUCAUAUGAUGUGUUUUGCUUCAUCAUGACGAUGUGGCAAGUGUGGCAAGUGCUUCUUGAAAGUCCAAUCUCUUGAAAACCUGACUGCUAUCAUGCAAAACAUUGUGGGACUGUAUUAACAGUAAUGAAAAAAAUACAAAAAUAUAGUUUA